GAAAAAUUGGCUGCGGUUGAUGCAUGGAAGCAUUCUGAUUUCUUAUGCAGAAAUUAUGUACUUAAUGGACUGGACAACACAUUAUAUAAUGUGUACUGCAAUGCGACGUCCGCAAAAGAACUGUGAGAAUCGUUGGACACAAAGUACAAAACCGAAGAUGCCGGCACGAAGAAAUUCAUUGUCGGUCGUUUUUUGGAUUAUAAAAUGGUUGACAACAAGACUGUCAUAUCCCAAGUUCAAGAACUUCAGAUCAUACUUAGCGACAUCCAUGCCGAAGGAAUGAAACUAAGUGAAUCAUUCCAAGUCGCUGCACUAAUUGAGAAAUUACCACCUUCAUGGAAGGAUUUCAAGAAUUACCUAGAGCACAAGCAAAAAGAGGAAGCACAAUGGGGAAGGACAAAUUGGUUCUUCAAAAACUGCUAAAAAAUUUAAAGGCAACUGUUACAAUUGUGGCAAGGCAGGAUAUCGAUCCAAGGAUUGUCGAAAGCCAGAAAAUGUGAAGGGAAAAACUAACCAGGCCAAUGUAACAGAACAUGAGAACCUCACUGAUAAGGUACAAGACAUGAAUCUUUCUGUGGUCGUCUCUGAAUGCAACUUAAUUGGAAACACUAAGGAGUGGUGGGUAGAUACUGGAGCUACUCGUCACAUAUGCUCAAAGCGCGGGAUGUUUUCUACCUACAAAGCAAUGGAUCAUGAUGAACAUCUCUACAUGGGAAACUCGUCAUCUUCCAAAGUAGAAGGACAUGGGAAGAUAGUGCUGAAAAUGACAAGUGGAAAAGAGCUCACUCUGAAUGAUUUUUUCAUGUGCCUGAUAUUAGGAAAAACUUGGUAUCUGGUUCUCUACUAAGUAAGAACGGGUUUAAGCUAGUAUUUGUCUCGGACAAAUUUGUACUCUCAAAGAAUGAAAUGUUUGUAGGAAAA
Molecule: long non-coding RNA, 921 nt
Filed under: Olea europaea subsp. europaea
Lineage: Eukaryota; Viridiplantae; Streptophyta; Magnoliopsida; Lamiales; Oleaceae
Source: RNAcentral